UCACACUGCAAUACAAGCCUAUCCACAUGUUUUUCUCCAUAACUUCCGCUGCAUACAGUCUUGUACAUUUGUGUUAUUCUACUUUGUUAUGAUGUGAUACACUAUGCACACACGAUUACGUCAAUCACAUAGACAUUCAACAGGGAAUCUCCCACUUUUAUCAUCAGUCCAUGAUUUCCUUUCUAUUUGAUCCGUAUGUUAUAAUUCCU
Molecule: long non-coding RNA, 209 nt
Filed under: Solanum tuberosum (potato)
Lineage: Eukaryota; Viridiplantae; Streptophyta; Magnoliopsida; Solanales; Solanaceae
Description: long non-coding RNA (STUB_LNC001116)
Source: RNAcentral